Molecule: long non-coding RNA, 1150 nt
Organism: Hemicordylus capensis (graceful crag lizard)
Lineage: Eukaryota; Metazoa; Chordata; Lepidosauria; Squamata; Cordylidae
Exons: 3
Source: RefSeq, a predicted model, not a curated record
CACUCCUCGGGGACACCUCGUUCCUUCUGGAAAAGUGUUGUUAUUAUUACUAUUAUGAGACAAAUUGGAGUUCAACUUAAUUGGACACAUUACAAAACAGCUGGGGAAGUGAAGAAAGAAAGCAACACCAGGCAUGUGGAAAGCAGUUAUACAACAUUUGGCAACAAAGUUUUGAAACAGCUCUGCAUGUGAGCCUGCAAAGCUUGUGCAAGUUCCUGCAUCUUCCUUUCAAUGCUUCAUUGGGCCUACAUUCCUGAACUGCUGCAUUCUACUGUUGCUGCUGCUGAUUGUUUCUCCAGCUUCCUGAUCUGCACAACUCCUGAAGUGUGAACCUGGAGGCAUAGGGCCCAUGACAUUUCACAACUGACGGUCAUCGUUCCACUCUCUUCUGUACUCAGCAGACUCACUUAGAAUACUGAAGGAAGCACUGGUGCAGCAAGAGAGCGGCUGAACAGACCAUCCCAACUAGCUGCACUGGUGUAGUGGAGAAGUGGCAAUUUUUGACAACGUUCCCUUAUUCAAGAAGCCCUCUCUGUCACCCCCCAAAUAUGUCCUUGAUAGUUGCACCUAUUUCCAGGUAGUUUAGGGAGAUUUCAGGAGAAGUGGGGGUUGUCAAGAACAAUUCCUGGGGAAUCGCGGGAGAGGGGAGUCCCGAUUUCCAGUGCCCCAAGGAAAGUGGGGUCACUGUUUGGGGGCACAAGCAAGGGUGCACAUGUACACAUGGGCUGGCAGGGAGCAAAAUUUGACAGCUACUUGGCAGCAGUUUCCAAGACAGGGAGAGCAGUUGCCGGGGUACCCAUCCCAGCAGCUUUCCUGUAAAGCUCAACCUGGCUCGAUAGAGAGACCCCAUGGUCUGACACUCUCAUGAGAGAGGGGUCCGUGGAGAAGGGGUUGUUUUGUCUUCACACAUUAUUUGUGAUUCUGCCCGACAUCCCUAUCCCCACAGAUGGUUCUUCUCCUGAAUGAGCAGUCUGCUUGGGAUCACCUUCCACUGUCAUCAAAUAUGUCAAAUCGCCCCUUUCACUGGGGCAAUGAUGAUCCUGCUGCCCGACGCUUCUCAUGAGUAAGCCUAGGAAUUGCACAGGUACCCCCCAAGGGGAAGGGGCUGGGUCCCCCUUCCCCAAGUUUUCUGUGAAAAUAAAUAAAAUUU